This 492-nucleotide ribosomal RNA is filed under the name uncultured bacterium. RNAcentral describes it as "partial 16S ribosomal RNA". It matches the Rfam family "Bacterial small subunit ribosomal RNA", at positions 29 to 507 of the family's 1533-position model. The record is from RNAcentral.
AGUGAACGCUGGCGGUAGGCCUAACACAUGCAAGUCGAACGGCAGCACAGUAAGAGCUUGUUCUUACGGGUGGCGAGUGGCGGACGGGUGAGGAAUACAUCGGAAUCUACUUUUUCGUGGGGGAUAACGUAGGGAAACUUACGCUAAUACCGCAUACGACCUACGGGUGAAAGCAGGGGAUCUUCGGACCUUGCGCGAUUGAAUGAGCCGAUGUCGGAUUAGCUAGUUGGCGGGGUAAAGGCCCACCAAGGCGACGAUCCGUAGCUGGUCUGAGAGGAUGAUCAGCCACACUGGAACUGAGACACGGUCCAGACUCCUACGGGAGGCAGCAGUGGGGAAUAUAGGACAAUGGGCGCAAGCCUGAUCCAGCCAUACCGCGUGGGUGAAGAAGGCCUUCGGGUUGUAAAGCCCUUUUGUUGGGAAAGAAAAGCAGCAGGUUAAUACCCCGCUGUUCUGACGGUACCCAAAGAAUAAGCACCGGCUAACUUCGUG